This is a non-coding RNA of Callorhinchus milii (elephant shark), 906 nucleotides long. The record is from the annotation of a RefSeq genome assembly. Lineage: Eukaryota; Metazoa; Chordata; Chondrichthyes; Chimaeriformes; Callorhinchidae.
AUGGGUCAAGGCACCGUGUUGACUGUGACGGAUGAAUGUGAGCAACCCACUGGGGGUGUGAAGGUCUCUUUCCUGCCACCCUCGCAGCAACAGGUUUUAAUGGAGUCCACUGUAACGCUGACAUGUGUCGUGGCCAAUGCACCACUUGACGUCAACGUGACUUGGACACAAGGAAAGACACAUUUACAGUCUGGAUAUGGGAAAACGUCUGCCACUGAGCCUCAGGAAGUGAUCAGUAAAUUAAACGUUUCUACACAAGACUGGAAGAGUGGGAAAGAAUUCUUCUGCCUUGCCAAUCAUGAAGAUAUCCCAACUCCCAUCGGUGAAAAGACAUUUAAGAGGAAAGUUGUGUACACAAAACAACCUUCAGUGUAUCUGCUCCUCCCCUCGGCAGAAGAAAUGGCUGCUCAGCAGUUUGUCACCUUGACCUGCCUGGUGAAGGACUUCGCUCCCAAAGAGAUCUUUGUGCAGUGGACUGUGAAUGACCAGUUGAUUGAUGCCAACAAGUACAGAAACACCGAGGUGAUGGCAGACAGUGAAGAUCUCAACUACUCCAUGUACAGCAUGUUAACCCUCUCAGUCGAUGAGUGGAACAGAAGACCCUCCUACUCAUGUGUGGUGGGCCACGAAACGUUCCCACUGAAGACCCUGACCAGAACCGUAAAUAAAUCCAGCGAUUUCCCAACCGAGAUGAUGCUGAAAGGUUUUCAAGAAGUACCAAGUGACAACCUGUGGCCUACUGCUUCCACCUUCAUCAUCCUCUUCUUCCUGAGUAUUAUGUACAGCGCAGCCGUCACUUUAAUUAAGGCCAAGUUCCUUGUUACUGGGCUGUGUGAAGGUGAUGAGAAUAUCCUCUCCAUUACACACCCUAUCGCACCUGAGAUAUGCUCACCUGGUAUAGACUAG